GCUUAAUUUACUGUAUAAAAAGAAGGGUACAUAUCCUUGAAAUUAAAUAAUUCUACGCCCACCAACCUUCGUCUAUUCAUAAUACACUAGCUAGAUCUGCAUUUCAUUUCACACCUUACAACCAUGGAAGCUCUCCUCUCCCAAUUUACCUUUCUCUCAGAUCAAGCCUUGCAGGACAAGAACUUUGAUCCCUCAACGAUAGAGGAUCUAAUGAAGCUUUUUGAGAUAGAAGCUUACAAGUCAUGGGCAGCAAUGGAACUUGAGCAAGAAAAUGAAGUGAAAGAAGCACAAGUAGCUAUGCGAGAUGCUGAGAACUAUCUUGAUUCUGUGAUGGAAGAAGCUAUGGAUGAAUUUCGUCGAUUCGAAGAGGAAAUGGAAAGGAUGGCAAAGGAAGAACUUGAAAGCUUAGAAAAGAGUGCUGAGACUGAAAGAAAGAUGGGAAAAUUAAUGGAAAAAGCUGCAACUAUUGCUUCUAAGAGGUAUAUUGAAGCUGCCGUUAAUUCUGCUACCGCUUCCAUGAAAUCUGCUUGGAAGGGACUUUCCUCUAACAAGGUUCAUCCUUCUUGAGAGAUCCUGAUGAAUUUUUAACCUUUUUCCUUUUCCUUUCCCUGAUCAUGAAAGAA
RNAcentral lists this unclassified non-coding RNA (623 nucleotides) under Hevea brasiliensis (rubber tree). Lineage: Eukaryota; Viridiplantae; Streptophyta; Magnoliopsida; Malpighiales; Euphorbiaceae. The record is from RNAcentral.